This 680-nucleotide long non-coding RNA is filed under the name Phaseolus vulgaris (common bean). RNAcentral's name for it is "long non-coding RNA (PVUL_LNC005294)". Lineage: Eukaryota; Viridiplantae; Streptophyta; Magnoliopsida; Fabales; Fabaceae. The record is from RNAcentral.
UUCGGUCAGAAUAUGUAACUAAAGUUAUCCGAAUUAUAACUCAAACGUUAUUCACCAACCUUGAUCAAAACAUGCGACUCAUAACCUAAGUGGUUAGCCGCUCGUCCGCCAACCUAGGUCAGAAAUUAAUAAUUAUUAAUCAACCACUCGUCCGGUCAGAGCAUGUGACUUAGGUUACAUGAAUUGUAACUUAACGUUAUCUACCAAACUUGGUCAGAACAUACAAUUAGUAACUUAAGUGUCGUCCGAGCGCAUAACUUCGAAUACUGACAUGAUACGUUCAAAAACAAAAGAAGUGCGCGGAAAACAGCAAGAACUAAAAGCAGUUAAAUUGUUCAAACGCCCACAACCCGGGUCCAGAUAUUUUCACAAAUUAUACUAUCUUGAUGGCUUCAUCCUGCUGCGGAGCCUCCGACACAAUUUCUUCACGAUUCUGACGUUCGUCCUCCGCCCCUUCUGCCUCCUCACCCUCUGCGCCCCCAAGAGGUACUAGGCGGCCAUCCACCACAUCCAUACCCGGGUCGUAGCGGUCAUCAUCAGUCGGCACACCAUGGAAGAAAGCUACCUGACGAACGCCCUGAUUAAAACUCUCUUCACUUACACGCAGCAUAAAACUUUGGCAUUGUUCGAUUUCGGCGGUCAAAGACUCCUUUUCAACCAUCAGACCAUCUUUUUCUCUC